CUGGGGCGCAAGCAGCUGCCUGCGGCGCUGGCCGGCGCUGAAGCUCAGAACUGUGACUGCCGCCGCUGCUACAGGCGCCACUGUUGUUGUGAAGCCCCGACGCCGCCGCUCACUCCGCCAUGUUGCCGCCCCCUGCCUGCGGUAGCGGCCACUGCGCCUGCGCAGAGCCUCCGGGGGGGCGGAGCCCUCGUGCACCCCCUCUUUCGCCCUGCCCUCCUUCCCCUUCCACCCACCCAGCCCGACACCCCUCGUCCCUCCCCCAACCGCCCUGAACGGAUAGACAGGAAGAGGUUCGUCAUCUUCGUCGUCGCAUCCAGCAGCUGCUACAGCCAGUGCCACGUGCCUUGUAAGAUCAGCAGCUACUUGAAGACAAGGACUAUAUCAUUCUUACAAAUAAAACCUUCAGCAAUAUAUUGUGAUCAUUGACUGAUACAUGGUGCUGGUGCGAAUGGUCACUCUCCUGCCUGUCUGGAAGGUCCCUGGAGGGGGAUUUGUGGCAGCAGAAUUCUCACAUUCUCUAGGUGCUGAGGGGGUGUAGAGCUCAGUACGUAGAAAGAAGAGUGCAACUAUCAUUCACUCUGAGGAAGCCAGCUGCCACAUCACGAAGACCCUCUGGCUAUACUAUGAAGAAACUCCCAUGACAAGGAUCUAAGCCCUCGUGGCCUUAAAAGCCAUGAGAGGGAGCAUCUUGGAGCUGAUCCUCUAGACCCAGACUUCAGGGGACUGCAGACUGCAAGGCAACAGCUUAACUGGGAGGCCCUGAAUUGGAACCAUCCAACUACCCAUCUGUGCUGCUCUGGGAUCCCUGAACCUCAGAGACUCCUUCAGAUAACAUCCAAGAGGCUGCCAGAGAAGCAAAUCUAAAAGACGCAAGUCCCUGUUCUUCCCAUCACCCACUGCCCCAGUGUGGAUCCCUUCCAACAAGAGACAACACAGGCCCACUGGCUCUCACCAUUUAUGGAAUUGCCUUGGCUACUCAAGGGACCAGAUGUUCCCUGGAGUUGUGACCCACUGCUCCUGCAUUUAACCUCCUGGCUGGCUGCUUGCUUGCUUGGACUCAGCCCAGUACAGAUGGCAUCACUGCUAAAUCAGAGAGGAUGCCACUCGGUUUCCUGGUCCUCCUUCAAGUUGCUACUUUGUUGGCAGUCAGAGACCUCUAACUCCUUACGGGAGGUGUGAUAUUGAGGAGAAAGGAAGAAACACCAGUGUGAGUUAAGAGGAGACCCUCACAGAUACUGCAGAUUUGGGUCUGGAUCAUCACAAUGAAGUGAAUAUCGCAAUAAAGCAAGUCACAUGAAUUUUUCUUUUGUUUCCCAGUGCAUAUAAAAGUUAUAUUUAUACUGUAGUGCAGUCUGUUAGGUGUUCGAUGGCAUUAUGUCUAUAAAAACAAUGUACACGCUUUAAUUUUAAAAUUAGUGCUGUUGGGAAAAUGCCUGAUUUGCCACAUACCUUCAAUUUGUAAAAAGAAAAAAAUUUUAUUGCAAAGUACAAUAAAAUAAAGAGCAAUAAAAUGAGGUAUGCCUGUAUUUUUUGUGUUUCUUAGAGAUUUCUUUCCAGUAAAUUUCCUUUUCUUGUGAAACAUUAGAAUGUAAGCACUGGGAUAUUUUUCUGCUUGUUCAGUAUAAGUAUUUAGUGCAUCAAACAUUGUCUGACCCAGAGUGAGUGUUCAGUGGCUAUGCAUUAAAUAAAUAAAUGAAAGAAUGAAAUAUCAAUUACUGUUGCUUGCAACCAAGUUUCUAUAAUGCGAUGUAGGAAGAGGAACUCAAGCAGAGCCCAGUGGUCUUUCUGAAUUAAGACAGACUGUGGAACUCAAGGACACUUAUGUUCCUAGAAUGUAUGGGAUAGAAUAUCGAAGGGAAGAAAGCUGUACACAGGGAAGACUACUAAGAUCUGUAGAGGAUGUCCUUGAAGCUUUGAGCACGAGCUUAUCUAUGUAUGCAUGAGAUGAAUCUCUAUAAGGUAGAAAAAAGAAGCUGCCAAAGCUAUAGGUUGAAUAAUAGCCUAAGUUAACAUAGAUAUUUUUCCCCCUGCAGCCAGACUGGAGAGACCUCAUACUACAUGGGGAAUUUGGUAGAAUCCUUGGAGAGUUCUUGCCUUAGCAGUGGACUCACUUGUACCUAACAUAAAGGCUGCUCUGGGACCAUCCUAACAAAGCUUCAAAGAAAACCUUAAAGUCAUUACAUUGACUUGAUAGUAACUUUACUUUCUGCCAGAAAUUAAACAUUGUUUAAAUGAAUACAACAAAAUUCACUAUAAAACAACAUAAAUUUCACAAUGUCUAGCGUUUAAAAAUUAUCAGGCAUGAAAUAAAGCAGGAAAAUAUGACCUAGAAACAGUAGGAAAAAGUAAGAAAAUAAGGGAAUGGU
Molecule: long non-coding RNA, 2366 nt
Organism: Bubalus bubalis (water buffalo)
Lineage: Eukaryota; Metazoa; Chordata; Mammalia; Artiodactyla; Bovidae
Exons: 10
Source: RefSeq, a predicted model, not a curated record